Molecule: ribosomal RNA, 300 nt
Filed under: uncultured Lactobacillus sp.
Lineage: Bacteria; Bacillati; Bacillota; Bacilli; Lactobacillales; Lactobacillaceae
Description: bacterial SSU rRNA
Rfam family: Bacterial small subunit ribosomal RNA
Source: RNAcentral
GCUGAUGCCGGGCCAGUGGCCGUGGUGAUACGGAGGGUUGAAUGGUUCUCCGGAUUUAUUGGGUUUAAAAGUGCCGUAGGAGGACCUGUAAGUCAGUGGUGACAGCCUACAGCUUAACUGUAGAACUGCCGUUUAUACAGUCGGUCUUGAGUGUGGUUGAGGUAGCUGGAAUGAGUAGUGUAGCGGUGAAAUGCAUAGAUAUUACUCAGAACACCAAUUGCGAAGGCAGGUUACCAAGUCACAACUGACGCUGAUGGACGAAAGCGUGGGGAGCGAACAGGAUUAGAUACCCGAGUAGUC